AUGAUGAAAGUUGUGUUAAAGUUGGAAAUAAAUGAAGACAGAAUGAAGCAAAAAGCAAUGAAGGCAGUCUCUGGGCUUUCAGGGGUUGAGUCAGUUUCAAUGGACAUUAAAGACAAGAAAUUAACCUUAAUAGGAGAUAUCGAUCCAGUAGGUGUAGUUGCUAAGCUAAGGAACCCUUAUUACGGUGCUGUUAGCGUUGAAGAAGAUCCUAAUAGCUGUGUCAUCAUCUAA
Vicia faba (fava bean) is the source of this 231-nucleotide non-coding RNA. Lineage: Eukaryota; Viridiplantae; Streptophyta; Magnoliopsida; Fabales; Fabaceae. The record is from the annotation of a GenBank genome assembly.